UUUAUUCACUAUCGCUUGUGUGUUCUGCAUUGUGGGUUCUAUCAUUAGAUCGUACUACAUGACAGAACGAUCUGGCCAACAUGAACCCCGCAGACGCCAACCCGGAAGCAGCACCUUCACUAUCGAUAUUCACUAUCGCUUGUGUGUUAUGGAUGUGCGUCGCCGUGGGAGGGGGUUCUAAUACCUCGUGGAUUGGGAGGGAUAUGGCCCUGAGGAGCGGUCCUGGGUUCCUCGCUCCCGCAUUCUCGAUCCUAGGAUCUUGAAAGAAUUUCACCAGGCUCACCCGGAGAAAGCUGGUGGGUCGCCAGGAGGCUCCCGUUGAGGGAGGUGGUAGUUUGCCACCUUAUCUCCUCCAGCCCUGUGUUCUCUGUUGUUUUCCUCUCCUUGAUGUGUCUUGUGUGUCCUCCAACGUAUCCUUGGAUGUGUAUGUGUGUGUGUAUGUCACCUGGUCUGACUCCGUGGGUUCCACACCUGCUGCUGAUCACUGGCUCACCUGGCUUCAAUCAUUCAUCAGUCUCCACAGUUAAAUACCAGGCUCUCCCACAACACCAACACCAGAUCUUCCACGAUUAUUCUGUGCCGGUGAUUUCAGUCGUCUUUGUUCCUGCCUGGAUUUCUGUUUGCCUGCCUGCCUCGCCUAUACUCCACUGUGCUUCUUCCCAUCUACCUAUCCAUGGAGCCAGACCCAGGGAAACGGUCCUGCUCUGUGUUGGUGUUCAUGCUGACGGCCGUCUCCUCUCCCUGCCACCAGUCUACACACUAAGGUUACCAUUAACUUUCUGGUUCCUACGAAGACAACACGGAGAACUCCGCUCCGAAGAUCUUACCCCUUUCCCCUCCACCUUGUGCUUGUCAAUAAAGAGUGACUUUAUUAACUAUC
Long non-coding RNA from Siniperca chuatsi (mandarin fish), 880 nucleotides. RefSeq lists it as uncharacterized. The record is from RefSeq and is a predicted model, not a curated record. The transcript is spliced from 2 exons. Lineage: Eukaryota; Metazoa; Chordata; Actinopteri; Centrarchiformes; Sinipercidae.